GACGAACGCUGGCGGCGUGCUUAACACAUGCAAGUCGAGCGGAAAGGCCCUUCGGGGUACUCGAGCGGCGAACGGGUGAGUAACACGUGAGUAACCUGCCCCAGACUUUGGGAUAACCCUCGGAAACGGGGGCUAAUACCGGAUACGACACAGCUUCGCAUGGGGUCUGUGUGGAAAGUUUUUCGGUUUGGGAUGGGCUCGCGGCCUAUCAGCUUGUUGGUGGGGUGAUGGCCUACCAAGGCGACGACGGGUAGCCGGCCUGAGAGGGCGACCGGCCACACUGGGACUGAGACACGGCCCAGACUCCUACGGGAGGCAGCAGUGGGGAAUAUUGCACAAUGGGCGGAAGCCUGAUGCAGCGACGCCGCGUGAGGGAUGACGGCCUUCGGGUUGUAAACCCCUUUCAGCAGGGACGAAGCGUAAGUGACGGUACCUGCAGAAGAAGCGCGGGCCAACUACGUG
This 462-nucleotide ribosomal RNA is filed under the name uncultured bacterium. RNAcentral's name for it is "partial 16S ribosomal RNA". It matches the Rfam family "Bacterial small subunit ribosomal RNA", at positions 28 to 507 of the family's 1533-position model. The record is from RNAcentral.